This 226-nucleotide ribosomal RNA is filed under the name uncultured bacterium. RNAcentral's name for it is "partial 16S ribosomal RNA". It matches the Rfam family "Bacterial small subunit ribosomal RNA", at positions 538 to 763 of the family's 1533-position model. The record is from RNAcentral.
GCGUUGUCCGGAUUUAUUGGGCGUAAAGAGCGUGUAGGCGGCCAGAUAAGUCUGCUGUGAAAACUCGAGGCUCAACCUCGAGCUGUCGGCGGAAACUAUUUGGCUAGAGUCCGGAAGAGGAAAGCGGAAUUCCUGGUGUAGCGGUGAAAUGCGCAGAUAUCAGGAAGAACACCCGUGGCGAAGGCGGCUUUCUGGGACGGUACUGACGCUGAGACGCGAAAGCGUG